This 29-nucleotide small RNA is filed under the name Bombyx mori (domestic silkworm). RNAcentral describes it as "ovarian small RNA-9631". The record is from RNAcentral. Lineage: Eukaryota; Metazoa; Arthropoda; Insecta; Lepidoptera; Bombycidae.
UUCCUGAUACCUGGGUAUGACUCACCUAC